AGAAUCAACGCUGGCGGCGUGCCUAACACAUGCAAGUCGAACGAGAAAGUGGAGCAAUCCAUGAGUAAAGUGGCGCACGGGUGAGUAACACGUGACUAACCUACCCUCGAGUGGGGAAUAACCUAGGGAACCUGGGCUAAUACCGCAUAAUACCUACGGGUCAAAGGAGCAAUUCGCUUAAGGAGGGGGUCGCGGCCGAUUAGUUAGUUGGCGGGGUAAUGGCCCACCAAGACUGUGAUCGGUAU
RNAcentral lists this ribosomal RNA (245 nucleotides) under uncultured bacterium. Its description in RNAcentral is "partial small subunit ribosomal RNA". It matches the Rfam family "Bacterial small subunit ribosomal RNA", at positions 26 to 286 of the family's 1533-position model. The record is from RNAcentral.